This 661-nucleotide ribosomal RNA is filed under the name Achromobacter sp. SA007. Its description in RNAcentral is "bacterial SSU rRNA". It matches the Rfam family "Bacterial small subunit ribosomal RNA", at positions 90 to 747 of the family's 1533-position model. Lineage: Bacteria; Pseudomonadati; Pseudomonadota; Betaproteobacteria; Burkholderiales; Alcaligenaceae. The record is from RNAcentral.
GGCGAGUGGCGAACGGGUGAGUAAUGUAUCGGAACGUGCCUAGUAGCGGGGGAUAACUACGCGAAAGCGUAGCUAAUACCGCAUACGCCCUACGGGGGAAAGCAGGGGAUCGCAAGACCUUGCACUAUUGGAGCGGCCGAUAUCGGAUUAGCUAGUUGGUGGGGUAACGGCUCACCAAGGCGACGAUCCGUAGCUGGUUUGAGAGGACGACCAGCCACACUGGGACUGAGACACGGCCCAGACUCCUACGGGAGGCAGCAGUGGGGAAUUUUGGACAAUGGGGGAAACCCUGAUCCAGCCAUCCCGCGUGUGCGAUGAAGGCCUUCGGGUUGUAAAGCACUUUUGGCAGGAAAGAAACGUCCUGGGCUAAUACCCCGUGAAACUGACGGUACCUGCAGAAUAAGCACCGGCUAACUACGUGCCAGCAGCCGCGGUAAUACGUAGGGUGCAAGCGUUAAUCGGAAUUACUGGGCGUAAAGCGUGCGCAGGCGGUUCGGAAAGAAAGAUGUGAAAUCCCAGAGCUUAACUUUGGAACUGCAUUUUUAACUACCGAGCUAGAGUGUGUCAGAGGGAGGUGGAAUUCCGCGUGUAGCAGUGAAAUGCGUAGAUAUGCGGAGGAACACCGAUGGCGAAGGCAGCCUCCUGGGAUAACACUGACGCU